Molecule: ribosomal RNA, 2923 nt
Filed under: Klebsiella pneumoniae
Lineage: Bacteria; Pseudomonadati; Pseudomonadota; Gammaproteobacteria; Enterobacterales; Enterobacteriaceae
Description: 23S ribosomal RNA
Rfam family: Bacterial large subunit ribosomal RNA
Source: RNAcentral
GGGUUGUGAGGUUAAGCGACUAAGCGUACACGGUGGAUGCCCUGGCAGUCAGAGGCGAUGAAGGACGUGCUAAUCUGCGAAAAGCGUCGGUAAGGUGAUAUGAACCGUUAUAACCGGCGAUGUCCGAAUGGGGAAACCCAGUGCAAUUCGUUGCACUAUCGUUAACUGAAUACAUAGGUUAACGAGGCGAACCGGGGGAACUGAAACAUCUAAGUACCCCGAGGAAAAGAAAUCAACCGAGAUUCCCCCAGUAGCGGCGAGCGAACGGGGAGCAGCCCAGAGUCUGAAUCAGCUUGUGUGUUAGUGGAACGGUCUGGAAAGUCCGACGGUACAGGGUGAUAGUCCCGUACACCAAAAUGCACAGGUUGUGAACUCGAAGAGUAGGGCGGGACACGUGGUAUCCUGUCUGAAUAUGGGGGGACCAUCCUCCAAGGCUAAAUACUCCUGACUGACCGAUAGUGAACCAGUACCGUGAGGGAAAGGCGAAAAGAACCCCGGCGAGGGGAGUGAAAAAGAACCUGAAACCGUGUACGUACAAGCAGUGGGAGCACCUUCGGGUGUGACUGCGUACCUUUUGUAUAAUGGGUCAGCGACUUAUAUUCUGUAGCAAGGUUAACCGUAUAGGGGAGCCGCAGGGAAACCGAGUCUUAACUGGGCGUUAAGUUGCAGGGUAUAGACCCGAAACCCGGUGAUCUAGCCAUGGGCAGGUUGAAGGUUGGGUAACACUAACUGGAGGACCGAACCGACUAAUGUUGAAAAAUUAGCGGAUGACUUGUGGCUGGGGGUGAAAGGCCAAUCAAACCGGGAGAUAGCUGGUUCUCCCCGAAAGCUAUUUAGGUAGCGCCUCGUGAACUCAUCUUCGGGGGUAGAGCACUGUUUCGGCUAGGGGGUCAUCCCGACUUACCAACCCGAUGCAAACUACGAAUACCGAAGAAUGUUAUCACGGGAGACACACGGCGGGUGCUAACGUCCGUCGUGAAGAGGGAAACAACCCAGACCGCCAGCUAAGGUCCCAAAGUCAUGGUUAAGUGGGAAACGAUGUGGGAAGGCACAGACAGCCAGGAUGUUGGCUUAGAAGCAGCCAUCAUUUAAAGAAAGCGUAAUAGCUCACUGGUCGAGUCGGCCUGCGCGGAAGAUGUAACGGGGCUAAACCAUGCACCGAAGCUGCGGCAGCGACACUAUGUGUUGUUGGGUAGGGGAGCGUUCUGUAAGCCUGCGAAGGUGGCCUGUGAGGGUUGCUGGAGGUAUCAGAAGUGCGAAUGCUGACAUAAGUAACGAUAAAGCGGGUGAAAAGCCCGCUCGCCGGAAGACCAAGGGUUCCUGUCCAACGUUAAUCGGGGCAGGGUGAGUCGACCCCUAAGGCGAGGCCGAAAGGCGUAGUCGAUGGGAAACAGGUUAAUAUUCCUGUACUUGGUGUUACUGCGAAGGGGGGACGGAGAAGGCUAUGUUAGCCGGGCGACGGUUGUCCCGGUUUAAGCAUGUAGGCUGGUUGUCCAGGCAAAUCCGGAUAAUCAAGGCUGAGGUGUGAUGACGAGGCACUACGGUGCUGAAGUAACAAAUGCCCUGCUUCCAGGAAAAGCCUCUAAGCAUCAGGUAACAUUAAAUCGUACCCCAAACCGACACAGGUGGUCAGGUAGAGAAUACCAAGGCGCUUGAGAGAACUCGGGUGAAGGAACUAGGCAAAAUGGUGCCGUAACUUCGGGAGAAGGCACGCUGGUGUGUAGGUGAAGUCCCUGCGGAUGGAGCUGAGACCAGUCGAAGAUACCAGCUGGCUGCAACUGUUUAUUAAAAACACAGCACUGUGCAAACACGAAAGUGGACGUAUACGGUGUGACGCCUGCCCGGUGCCGGAAGGUUAAUUGAUGGGGUUAUCCGUAAGGAGAAGCUCUUGAUCGAAGCCCCGGUAAACGGCGGCCGUAACUAUAACGGUCCUAAGGUAGCGAAAUUCCUUGUCGGGUAAGUUCCGACCUGCACGAAUGGCGUAAUGAUGGCCAGGCUGUCUCCACCCGAGACUCAGUGAAAUUGAACUCGCUGUGAAGAUGCAGUGUACCCGCGGCAAGACGGAAAGACCCCGUGAACCUUUACUAUAGCUUGACACUGAACAUUGAGCCUUGAUGUGUAGGAUAGGUGGGAGGCUUUGAAGCGUGGACGCCAGUCUGCGUGGAGCCAACCUUGAAAUACCACCCUUUAAUGUUUGAUGUUCUAACGUUGGCCCCUUACCGGGGUUGCGGACAGUGUCUGGUGGGUAGUUUGACUGGGGCGGUCUCCUCCCAAAGCGUAACGGAGGAGCACGAAGGUUAGCUAAUCCUGGUCGGACAUCAGGAGGUUAGUGCAAUGGCAUAAGCUAGCUUGACUGCGAGCGUGACGGCGCGAGCAGGUGCGAAAGCAGGUCAUAGUGAUCCGGUGGUUCUGAAUGGAAGGGCCAUCGCUCAACGGAUAAAAGGUACUCCGGGGAUAACAGGCUGAUACCGCCCAAGAGUUCAUAUCGACGGCGGUGUUUGGCACCUCGAUGUCGGCUCAUCACAUCCUGGGGCUGAAGUAGGUCCCAAGGGUAUGGCUGUUCGCCAUUUAAAGUGGUACGCGAGCUGGGUUUAGAACGUCGUGAGACAGUUCGGUCCCUAUCUGCCGUGGGCGCUGGAGAAUUGAGGGGGGCUGCUCCUAGUACGAGAGGACCGGAGUGGACGCAUCACUGGUGUUCGGGUUGUCAUGCCAAUGGCACUGCCCGGUAGCUAAAUGCGGAAGAGAUAAGUGCUGAAAGCAUCUAAGCACGAAACUUGCCCCGAGAUGAGUUCUCCCUGAGACUUUAAGUCUCCUGAAGGAACGUUGAAGACGACGACGUUGAUAGGCCGGGUGUGUAAGCGCAGCGAUGCGUUGAGCUAACCGGUACUAAUGAACCGUGAGGCUUAACCUUACAACGCCGAAG